GACCCCAUCUUCACUUUGCCACCAGGAAUCUUUAUGUCCUCAGUGGUCAUUCAUGUGGGGAAAAGUAUUUGAUCCUUAAGUACUCCAGUCUAACUUCUGUUUGACCUGGGGUUCUAUUGAGGAAACAGCA
Seriola dumerili (greater amberjack) is the source of this 130-nucleotide small nucleolar RNA. Lineage: Eukaryota; Metazoa; Chordata; Actinopteri; Carangiformes; Carangidae. The record is from Ensembl.